ACUCCUACGGGAGGCAGCAGUGGGGAAUAUUGCACAAUGGGCGCAAGCCUGAUGCAGCCAUGCCGCGUGUAUGAAGAAGGCCUUCGGGUUGUAAAGUACUUUCAGCAGUGAGGAAGGUGUUGUCGUUAAUAGCGGCAUCAUUUGACGUUAGCUGCAGAAGAAGCACCGGCUAACUCCGUGCCAGCAGCCGCGGUAAUACGGAGGGUGCGAGCGUUAAUCGGAAUUACUGGGCGUAAAGCGCAUGCAGGUGGUUUGUUAAGUCAGAUGUGAAAGCCCGGGGUCUCAACCUCGGAAUUGCAUUUGAAACUGGCAGACUAGAGUACUGUAGAGGGGGGUAGAAUUUCAGGUGUAGCGGUGAAAAUGCGUAGAGAUCUGAAGGAAUAACCGGUGGCGAAGGCGGCCCCCUGGACAGAUACUGACACUCAGA
RNAcentral lists this ribosomal RNA (427 nucleotides) under uncultured bacterium. RNAcentral describes it as "bacterial SSU rRNA". It matches the Rfam family "Bacterial small subunit ribosomal RNA", at positions 335 to 751 of the family's 1533-position model. The record is from RNAcentral.